Diceros bicornis minor is the source of this 3523-nucleotide RNA transcript. It is a transcript of the gene named nuclear pore membrane glycoprotein 210-like, with no coding region annotated. The transcript is spliced from 7 exons. The record is from RefSeq and is a predicted model, not a curated record. NCBI's taxonomy places the organism in Eukaryota, Metazoa, Chordata, Mammalia, Perissodactyla, Rhinocerotidae.
AGUGAUGCUGGACUCAGUGUGAUCCAGCCUCGUGACGUGCAGAACCCGCUACAUUUUGGGGAGAUGAAGGCUGUGGGCCCCUCCUCUGUCACCUUGGUUACCCUGGGAUCCUCAAACAAGAUGCUGUUCGAAGGAGUUCUAGGACCCUGGGUCCUCGAGCCUUCCAAGUUCUUCCGGAACGUCACCUCUGAGGACAUGGACAGCAUCAGUCUGGCUCUCUUUGGGCCCUCUGCCUCCCGGAAUUACCAGCAACUCUGGAUCCUUGUGACCUGCCAGGCCUUGGGCGAGCAGGUCAUCACCCUCUUGGUGGCAAACAAGCCCAGCAUCACCAACCCCUUCCCCGCGCUGGAGCCCUCCGUGGUGAAGUUCGCCUGUGCCCCGCCCUCCAGGCUCACCCUCACGCCCGUCUUCGCCAGCCCCCAGCUGGACCUGUCGUGCCCGCUGCUGCAGCAGAACAAGCAGGUUCCAGUCUCCAGCUACCGCAACCCUCAGCUGGACCUGGCCGCCUAUGACCAGGAGGGCCGCGGAUUUGACAACUUCAGCCCUCUGGGCGUCCAGUGGGAAUCCACCUGGCCGUUGCUGGCCAGCAUCGAGCUUGAUCUGCCCAUGCAGCUGGUGUCCUGGGACGACGGGAGUGGCCAGAAGAAGCUGCACGGUUUGCAGGCCAUUUCAGUUCAUGAGGCAUCAGGAGCCACGGCCAUCUCCGCCACGGCGACUGGCUACCAGCAGUCCCACCUCGGUGCUGCCAGAGUGAAGCAGCCGGUAACUUAGAAGUCAAGGAGAUGUAACCACCAGCCAUCCUGAAACUGACCAAGUGAGAACCUCAAGGGAGAUGUAACCACCAACCAUCCUGAAACUGACCAAGCCUCACCACAACAGCUACACGUAAGUUUCUUUGGUGUGUGUGAGGAAGAUCAGCCCUGAGCUAACAUCCAUGCUAAUCCUUGGGCGUGCACUUAACCUCUAAGCCCCGGGGCCGGCCCCUAUUUCAACUUUGUACAACUUACAAAGAGAAGGAAAUGGAAGCUGCUCAAAGAGCCUGGGGCACACAGCCACUUGGAGGCGGAGGGAGGAUUCAAAUCCGCAUUCCCCAUCUCCCAUCCAGGCCACCUGCCCCUGCAGCUCCUGGAACAGACGAGCACCCCACAACUCAGGGGCGGGCAGAGCAUGAGACAGCUCCUUUCCAAAGGGAGCUCUCACGCAGAAGUUCCAGUCUGCUCACAGAAUCACAGGACCUGGGAGCAGACCGUAGGGGCCACUAGGCUUUUCACUGUGAGCUCUCUGAUUCUCGUUCAUUUCUGCAACCCCAGCUGUUUGAAGUUGAGACCUCAUAAAGUGUUUUGAGUGAAGGAACACAUGUGAGCUACAGUUUUCCAGUCUUGUACUGCCAAGGAGCACCUUUCAAGGCUUCUCUUCUCUCCACCCACUUCCAGGGAUCUCGUCUUGCGAAGACUCUCUCCCCUAACAAACUGCGUCAGGACCACUCCCUCACGCUGCAGGAGGCGGGCAUUCACACACUUGGCAUCUGCCUUUUAACAUGCAUCUGCUGAAGGUGGGCUUGCAGCAAUUUAUACUGCUCGGGAGUGUAUUUAAAGGGGCUGUCUGAGGAGCUGACAGGUAGGGCCAAGCCAUGGAGCUAUCGGGCGGGCCCGGCGGGCUGCCUCCCACCUCUAGCUGACCCUGGCUUUGCUGCCUGUGGUUCGUGGACUUACAUUCAUCUUGCGGAGGAGAUGUGUACAGUGAGCAGUUCACUGUUUGCAAAGCUACAAUUUCAAAUCAAGAACCUGUGGAAAUCGUCAAUUAAACGAAAGACAACCUAUGGAAAGGAAAAAAUAUUUGCAAACCAGAUAUCUGAUAAGCAGUUAAUAUCCAAAAUACAUAAAGAACACAUACAACUCAAUAGCAAAAAACACGAUCCAAUUAAAAAAUGAGCCAAGGACCUGAAUAGACAUUUUUCCAAAGAAUGGCCACAGGUACAUGAAAAGAUGCUCAAUAUCACUAACCAUCAGGGAAAUGCAAAUCAAAUCCACAAUGAGGUAUCACCUCACACCUGUUAGAAUGGCUGUCAUCAAAAAGAUCAGAGCUAACAAGCGUGCAAAGAUGUGGAGAUUAGGGAACCCUUGGGCACUGUUGGUGGGAAUGUAAAUUGGUGAAGCCACUAUGGAAAACAGUAUGGAGGCUCCUCAAAAAAUUUCUUAAAAACUACUGUAUGAUCCAGCAAUUCCACUUCUGGGACUAUCUUCGCAGGAAAAGAAAACACUAUGCUGAAGAGAUACCGGCACCCCUACACUCAUCACAGCAUUACUCACAACAGCCGAGACAUGGAAGCGACCUAAGUGCCCAUCGACAGAUAAAGAGGUUGUGGUAUAUGUAUACAACAGAAUAUUAUUCAGCCAUAAAAAGAAAGAAGAAAAUCCAGCCAUUUGCAACAACAUGGAUGUACCCUGAGGGCGUUAUGCUCAGUGAAACAAGCCAGCCAGAGAAAGACAAAUACCGCAUGAUCUCACUUGCAUGUGGAAUCUGUUGGAGAUGAUGGAUGUUAACUUGUUGAAAGGUGGAUGCCCAGGGGCCUGUCAAGGGCCACUGAGCCUCUGUCCUGCACAGGAAGCCUGGAGCGGCCAGGCCCCAGCUCCUGACAUCUCCACCAACCGCCUCAGGAAAAGGACGAGCGCCCAGGGGAAAAACAAGUGACUUAAAAAUGACUUAACUGUAACAAAAGAUGGACAAUGACAAGUGUUGGUAAGGAUGUGGAGAAACUGCAGCCUUCACGCACUGCUGGUGAGAAGUAAAAUAACGCAGCCGCUGUGGAAAACAGUCUGGAAGUUCCUCAAAAAAACUCAACCUAGAGUUACCUGUGACCCAGCGAUUCCACUCCUAGGUGUGUACCCAAGAGAAACGAGCACCUACGUCCACACGAACACUUGUGAAUGUGUUCACAGCAGCAUUCACAACAGCCAAAAGGGGGAAACAACUCAGGUGUCCACCGACGGAUGAAUGGAUAACAAAACGGGGUGUACUCACACAACGGAAUGUUAUCUGAUCGUGACAAGGAACGAAGCACUGAUACAUGCUGCCACGUGGACGAACCUUGAGAACACUGUGCCCAGUAACAGGCAGUCACAGAAGACAUUAUUGUGUGAUUCCAUUUACAGGAAACAUCCACACCAGGCGCACCUAGACACAGAAAGUAGAUGAGUGACUGCCAGGAGCUGGAGGCAGCAGCGAAUGGAAAGUGACUGCUAACGGGUACUGGGUUUCUUUUAGUAAUGAGGAAGAUUUCUAACAUUAGACAGCACUAACGGUGGCACAACUUUGUGAGUAUAUUAAAACCCGUUGAAAUGUACACUUGAAACGGUUAAAUUUCAUGGUCUGUAAAUCUUGAUAAAAAUAAUCUUUUUUAAAAUGUGACUUAAGGUGGAGACUGUAGAACAGACUGGUCAGGAGCAGGGGCUAGCAAACUACGGUCCCUGGGCCAUGUCUGGCCCACCGCCUGUUUUGGUAAAUAAAGUUUUAUUAGGACACA